RNAcentral lists this ribosomal RNA (800 nucleotides) under uncultured bacterium. RNAcentral's name for it is "bacterial SSU rRNA". It matches the Rfam family "Bacterial small subunit ribosomal RNA", at positions 8 to 856 of the family's 1533-position model. The record is from RNAcentral.
AGAGUUUGAUCCUGGCUCAGAACGAACGCUGGCGGCAGGCCUAACACAUGCAAGUCGAGCGCCCAGCAAUGGGAGCGGCGGACGGGUGAGUAACACGUGGGAAUUUUCCUCAAGGUACGGAACAACUCAGGGAAACUUGGGCUAAUACCGUAUGAUGCAGAGAUGCCAAAGAUUUAUCGCCUUGGGAUAAGCCCGCGUCAGAUUAGGUAGUUGGUGGGGUAAUGGCCUACCAAGCCUGUGAUCUGUAGCUGGUCUGAGAGGACGAUCAGCCACAUUGGGACUGAGACACGGCCCAAACUCCUACGGGAGGCAGCAGUGGGGAAUCUUGCGCAAUGGGCGAAAGCCUGACGCAGCCAUGCCGCGUGAAUGAUGAAGGUCUUAGGAUUGUAAAGUUCUUUCGCCCGUGACGAUGAUGACGGUAACGGGAGAAGAAGCCCCGGCUAACUUCGUGCCAGCAGCCGCGGUAAUACGAAGGGGGCUAGCGUUGUUCGGAAUUACUGGGCGUAAAGCGCGCGUAGGCGGUUUUGCAAGCCAGAGGUGAAAUGCCCGAGCUCAACUUGGGAAUUGCCUUUGGGACUGUGAGGCUUCGAGGACGGAAGAGGUGAGUGGAAUUCCCAGUGUAGAGGUGAAAUUCGUAGAUAUUGGGAAGAACACCGGUGGCGAAGGCGGCUCACUGGUCCGUUUCUGACGCUAAAGUGCGAAAGCGUGGGGAUCAAACAGGAUUAGAUACCCUGGUAGUCCACGCUGUAAACGAUGAGUGCUAGGCGUCGGCAGGCUUGCCUGUCGGUGCCGCAGCUAAC